Molecule: ribosomal RNA, 464 nt
Filed under: uncultured ammonia-oxidizing beta proteobacterium
Lineage: Bacteria; Pseudomonadati; Pseudomonadota; Betaproteobacteria
Description: bacterial SSU rRNA
Rfam family: Bacterial small subunit ribosomal RNA
Source: RNAcentral
UGGGGAAUAACGCAUCGAAAGAUGUGCUAAUACCGCAUAUUCUCUGAGGAGAAAAGCAGGGGAUCGCAAGACCUUGCGCUUUUGGAGUGGCCGAUGCCUGAUUAGCUAGUUGGUGGGGUAAUGGCCUACCAAGGCGACGAUCAGUAGUUGGUCUGAGAGGACGACCAGCCACACUGGGACUGAGACACGGCCCAGACUCCUACGGGAGGCAGCAGUGGGGAAUUUUGGACAAUGGGCGAAAGCCUGAUCCAGCAAUGCCGCGUGAGUGAAGAAGGCCUUCGGGUUGUAAAGCUCUUUCAGUCGAGAAGAAAAGGUUGUGACUAAUAAUCACAACUCAUGACGGUAUCGACAGAAGAAGCACCGGCUAACUACGUGCCAGCAGCCGCGGUAAUACGUAGGGUGCGAGCGUUAAUCGGAAUUACUGGGCGUAAAGGGUGCGCAGGCGGCUUUGUAAGUCAGAUGUG